This 730-nucleotide long non-coding RNA is filed under the name Marmota monax (woodchuck). Lineage: Eukaryota; Metazoa; Chordata; Mammalia; Rodentia; Sciuridae. The record is from RNAcentral.
GAUGCCGUUUGCAUCCAUGGUUUCUCCCUCCAGCUUCCUCUCCAUCUUCAGUCCAGAGCUGCCAUUGCUGCCUAGUUCAUGAUCCUAAAAGGCAGCUUUAUAAGUUUUAAACUUGUUGAAUGAAUUCAAAGCCUUUCUCAGCCAGGCUUCUGCCCCCCAAACCCACCUUUUUUUUUUUUUUGUACCAAGUGCUUAACCACUGUGCCAUAUCCACAGCCCUUUUUUUCCUUUUUUUUUGGGGGGGGGUUGUCAUGGAUUGAAUUCAGGGGCACUUGACCACCAAGCCUCACCCCCAGCCCUAUUUUGUAUUUUAUUUAGAGACAGGGUCUCACUGAGUUGCUUUGUGCCUCACCUUUGCUGAGGCUGGCUUUGAACUCACGAUCCUCCUGCAUCAGCCUCCUGAGCUGCUGGGAUGACAGGCGUGCACCACCACGCCCGGCAGAUCCUUCCUUUCUUUUCAACCCCUUGCAUGAGUCUUAACUGAGCUACUUGCUGUUAGUUACCCACAGUGCCCCAUGUGCUGUCCAGUGAAGCCUCUGUGCCUAUUUUUUCCCCUUCCAGAAGCACCAGCUUCCCACAGGUCUGUCUCUGCACCCUGGCCUUCCCUUACAGAGGCCUCACCUGGCUCACACCUGAGCAGUCACACUGGAGGAUGCCCAGUUGCCCUCAGCUGGAAGGAGCCUUUCUCUCCUGAGCUCCUCAAGCUCCUCCCUGGUGAGGCCACUUCCUC